UUUAUGGAGAGUUUGAUCCUGGCUCAGAGUGAACGCUGGCGGCGUGCCUAAUACAUGCAAGUCGAACGAUGAAGCUUCUAGCUUGCUAGAGUGCUGAUUAGUGGCGCACGGGUGAGUAACGCAUAGGUCAUGUGCCUCUUAGUUUGGGAUAGCCAUUGGAAACGAUGAUUAAUACCAGAUACUCCCUACGGGGGAAAGAUUUAUCGCUAAGAGAUCAGCCUAUGUCCUAUCAGCUUGUUGGUAAGGUAAUGGCUUACCAAGGCUAUGACGGGUAUCCGGCCUGAGAGGGUGAACGGACACACUGGAACUGAGACACGGUCCAGACUCCUACGGGAGGCAGCAGUAGGGAAUAUUGCUCAAUGGGGGAAACCCUGAAGCAGCAACGCCGCGUGGAGGAUGAAGGUUUUAGGAUUGUAAACUCCUUUUGUUAGAGAAGAUAAUGACGGUAUCUAACGAAUAAGCACCGGCUAACUCCGUGCCAGCAGCCGCGGUAAUACGGAGGGUGCAAGCGUUACUCGGAAUCACUGGGCGUAAAGAGCGCGUAGGCGGGAUAGUCAGUCAGGUGUGAAAUCCUAUGGCUUAACCAUAGAACUGCAUUUGAAACUACUAUUCUAGAGUGUGGGAGAGGUAGGUGGAAUUCUUGGUGUAGGGGUAAAAUCCGUAGAGAUCAAGAGGAAUACUCAUUGCGAAGGCGACCUGCUGGAACAUUACUGACGCUGAUUGCGCGAAAGCGUGGGGAGCAAACAGGAUUAGAUACCCUGGUAGUCCACGCCCUAAACGAUGGAUGCUAGUUGUUGGAGGGCUUAGUCUCUCCAGUAAUGCAGCUAACGCAUUAAGCAUCCCGCCUGGGGAGUACGGUCGCAAGAUUAAAACUCAAAGGAAUAGACGGGGACCCGCACAAGCGGUGGAGCAUGUGGUUUAAUUCGAAGAUACACGAAGAACCUUACCUAGGCUUGACAUUGAGAGAAUCCGCUAGAAAUAGUGGAGUGUCUGGCUUGCUAGACCUUGAAAACAGGUGCUGCACGGCUGUCGUCAGCUCGUGUCGUGAGAUGUUGGGUUAAGUCCCGCAACGAGCGCAACCCCCUUUCUUGGUUGCUAACAGGUUAUGCUGAGAACUCUAAGGAUACUGCCUCCGUAAGGAGGAGGAAGGUGGGGACGACGUCAAGUCAUCAUGGCCCUUACGCCUAGGGCUACACACGUGCUACAAUGGGGUGCACAAAGAGAAGCAAUACUGCGAAGUGGAGCCAAUCUUCAAAACACCUCUCAGUUCGGAUUGUAGGCUGCAACUCGCCUGCAUGAAGCUGGAAUCGCUAGUAAUCGCAAAUCAGCCAUGUUGCGGUGAAUACGUUCCCGGGUCUUGUACUCACCGCCCGUCACACCAUGGGAGUUGUGUUUGCCUUAAGUCAGGAUGCUAAAUUGGCUACUGCCCACGGCACACACAGCGACUGGGGUGAAGUCGUAACAAGGUAACCGUAGGUGAACCUGCGGUUGGAUCACCUCCUUUCUAGA
This 1509-nucleotide ribosomal RNA is filed under the name Helicobacter pylori. Its description in RNAcentral is "bacterial SSU rRNA". It matches the Rfam family "Bacterial small subunit ribosomal RNA". Lineage: Bacteria; Pseudomonadati; Campylobacterota; Epsilonproteobacteria; Campylobacterales; Helicobacteraceae. The record is from RNAcentral.